UUCAGCACAAUCUCUGGCGCGGACAGUGUCUACGGUCUUCGGACGCCGCUGAGAGAUGUGCAAGACCAUGGAAGGGCGGGAGUAAUCAUGACUCUCUCAAGGUAGCCAAAUGCCUCGUCGUCUAAUUAGUGAUGCGCAUGAAUGGA
RNAcentral lists this non-coding RNA (146 nucleotides) under Ascochyta rabiei. Its description in RNAcentral is "Didymella rabiei Eukaryotic large subunit ribosomal RNA". It matches the Rfam family "Eukaryotic large subunit ribosomal RNA", at positions 2196 to 2323 of the family's 3401-position model. Lineage: Eukaryota; Fungi; Ascomycota; Dothideomycetes; Pleosporales; Didymellaceae. The record is from Rfam by way of RNAcentral.